AAAGCUCAAAUUUGAAAUCUGGCACCUUCGGUGUCCGAGUUGUAAUUUGAAGAAGGUAACUUUGGAGUUGGCUCUUGUCUAUGUUCCUUGGAACAGGACGUCACAGAGGGUGAGAAUCCCGUGCGAUGAGAUGCCCAAUUCUAUGUAAAGUGCUUUCGAAGAGUCGAGUUGUUUGGGAAUGCAGCUCUAAGUGGGUGGUAAAUUCCAUCUAAAGCUAAAUAUUGGCGAGAGACCGAUAGCGAACAAGUACAGUGAUGGAAAGAUGAAAAGAACUUUGAAAAGAGAGUGAAAAAGUACGUGAAAUUGUUGAAAGGGAAGGGCUUGAGAUCAGACUUGGUAUUUUGCAAGCCUUACCUUCGUGGUGGGGUCCCCUGCAGUUUACUGGGCCAGCAUCGGUUUGGAUGGUAGGAUAAUGACUUGGGAAUGUGACUUUGCUUCGGUAAAGUGUUAUAGCCCUUGUUGAUACUGCCUGUCUAGACCGAGGACUGCGUCUUUGACUAGGAUGCUGGCAUAAUGAUCUUAAGUCGCCCGUCUUGAACAACCGGACCAAA
This 551-nucleotide ribosomal RNA is filed under the name Schwanniomyces polymorphus var. polymorphus. RNAcentral describes it as "partial large subunit ribosomal RNA". It matches the Rfam family "Eukaryotic large subunit ribosomal RNA", at positions 104 to 670 of the family's 3401-position model. Lineage: Eukaryota; Fungi; Ascomycota; Pichiomycetes; Serinales; Debaryomycetaceae. The record is from RNAcentral.